CCGACUAGUUCCGGGUUCGACU
Molecule: transfer RNA, 22 nt
Filed under: Launaea sarmentosa
Lineage: Eukaryota; Viridiplantae; Streptophyta; Magnoliopsida; Asterales; Asteraceae
Description: partial tRNA-Lys
Source: RNAcentral